Molecule: non-coding RNA, 73 nt
Organism: Stegodyphus mimosarum
Lineage: Eukaryota; Metazoa; Arthropoda; Arachnida; Araneae; Eresidae
Source: Rfam
ACCUUCGUGGUGUAGUGGGCAGCACACUCGACACGUAACCGAGAGGUCAGUGGUUCGAUUCUCGGCGAAGGCG